UAGGUAGGAGCCGGAGACGCAAUGGGAAUGGACGUGACGUACCGAAUGGCAGCCGGAAUGGGCGGAUUAAGAACAUCAGGCGAUCUAGUAGCUAGAACAC
This is a regulatory RNA element of 100 nucleotides. It matches the Rfam family "Pyrrolysine insertion sequence mtbB". The record is from Rfam.